CAGCCGUUCGCGCAGGCUCAGAAGCCCGACGCCGGUACCGUCGCCGCGCGCGGUGCCGGUCGCCGUCGUGGGUUCGAAACCGACGCCGUCGUC
This 93-nucleotide transfer RNA is filed under the name Arthrobacter sp. NtRootA2. RNAcentral's name for it is "tRNA-Gly". Lineage: Bacteria; Bacillati; Actinomycetota; Actinomycetes; Micrococcales; Micrococcaceae. RNAcentral also lists the same sequence under 8 other names. The record is from RNAcentral.